Long non-coding RNA from Carassius carassius (crucian carp), 616 nucleotides. RefSeq lists it as uncharacterized. The record is from RefSeq and is a predicted model, not a curated record. Lineage: Eukaryota; Metazoa; Chordata; Actinopteri; Cypriniformes; Cyprinidae. The transcript has 4 exons.
UACAAACAUGAGGUAAACAGAGAAACAGGUGCUUUGCGUCAAAUAAAGGCAGAGUCAGAAAGACGGACUGCAUGAAGAAGAAGAUGAGUUGCCUGACUCUGUAUUCACAUAUGCUGAAGCUUCAAGAAAGCAAGAGAAUGCCUUUGAACAUUUAAUCUUUGAACAUGUUGAAGAGAAGGACUUCUCAAGCCAGAACCUGUCUCACCUUCAUCACAAAUGAUAAUCCUACAAAUGAGCCAGCUUCAAAUUUCAUAGACGACCCCAUAAAGUGGAAAGAGCAAGAAAAACAGGCUUUUGAGAAGGUUCAGGAGGAGGAGAGAAUGAGAAUCCAGAAACUUCAUUGCAUAGCAGCAACAAAGAUUCAAGCUGCUCUCAGAGGAACAUUAGGAGCAAAGCAGAGCGUAGGAAAAAGAAAGAGGAAGAGAAGAAGGAAUGGGAGAAGUUGAAGAAGGAGAGAGAACAGAAGAGAAACAGGACUGAGGAAGAAGAGGGCGCUCAGAGGGAGAAGAUGGAGAGAUGCAGCACCAGAGAUGGACACAAGGUGGCUUCAUAAUACUACAGCUGUUGAGCUUGAGGACCAUAAACCACAAAGCCAAAAAUCAUCCAGUUCAAAAAA